CCUACGGGGCGCAGCAGUGAGGAAUAUUGGUCAAUGGGCUUACGCCUGAACCAGCCAAGUCGCGUGAGGGAAGACUGCCCUAUGGGUUGUAAACCUCUUUUGUCAGGGAGCAAUUGGCGCUACGUGUAGCGUUAUCGAGAGUACCUGAAGAAAAAGCAUCGGCUAACUCCGUGCCAGCAGCCGCGGUAAUACGGAGGAUGCGAGCGUUAUCCGGAUUUAUUGGGUUUAAAGGGUGCGUAGGCGGGUUAUCAAGUCAGCGGUAAAAUCGUGGAGCUCAACUCCAUCCAGCCGUUGAAACUGAUGAU
Molecule: ribosomal RNA, 305 nt
Filed under: uncultured bacterium
Lineage: Bacteria
Description: bacterial SSU rRNA
Rfam family: Bacterial small subunit ribosomal RNA
Source: RNAcentral